GAUGAACGCUGGCGGCGUGCCUAAUACAUGCAAGUCGAGCGAACGGACGAGAAGCUUGCUUCUCUGAUGUUAGCGGCGGACGGGUGAGUAACACGUGGAUAACCUACCUAUAAGACUGGGAUAACUUCGGGAAACCGGAGCUAAUACCGGAUAAUAUUUUGAACCGCAUGAUUCAAAAGUGAAAGACGGUCUUGCUGUCACUUAUAGAUGGAUCCGCGCUGCAUUAGCUAGUUGGUAAGGUAACGGCUUACCAAGGCAACGAUGCAUAGCCGACCUGAGAGGGUGAUCGGCCACACUGGAACUGAGACACGGUCCAGACUCCUACGGGAGGCAGCAGUAGGGAAUCUUCCGCAAUGGGCGAAAGCCUGACGGAGCAACGCCGCGUGAGUGAUGAAGGUCUUCGGAUCGUAAAACUCUGUUAUUAGGGAAGAACAUAUGUGUAAGUAACUGUGCAUAUCUUGACGGUACCUAAUCAGAAAGCCACGGCUAACUACGUG
This 497-nucleotide ribosomal RNA is filed under the name uncultured bacterium. Its description in RNAcentral is "partial 16S ribosomal RNA". It matches the Rfam family "Bacterial small subunit ribosomal RNA", at positions 28 to 507 of the family's 1533-position model. The record is from RNAcentral.